Molecule: ribosomal RNA, 301 nt
Filed under: uncultured bacterium
Lineage: Bacteria
Description: partial 16S ribosomal RNA
Rfam family: Bacterial small subunit ribosomal RNA
Source: RNAcentral
CAGUAGCCGCGGGAAUACGAAGGGGGCUAGCGUUGUUCGGAAUUACUGGGCGUAAAGCGCACGUAGGCGGACUUUUAAGUCAGGGGUGAAAUCCCGGGGCUCAACCUCGGAACUGCCUUUGAUACUGGAAGUCUUGAGUGUGGAAGAGGUAAGUGGAAUUGCGAGUGUAGAGGUGAAAUUCGUAGAUAUUCGCAGGAACACCAGUGGCGAAGGCGGCUUACUGGUCCACAACUGACGCUGAGGUGCGAAAGCGUGGGGAGCAAACAGGAUUAGAUACCCCUGUAGUCCCUGUCUCUUAUAC